RNAcentral lists this ribosomal RNA (486 nucleotides) under uncultured bacterium. RNAcentral describes it as "partial 16S ribosomal RNA". It matches the Rfam family "Bacterial small subunit ribosomal RNA", at positions 30 to 507 of the family's 1533-position model. The record is from RNAcentral.
AUUGAACGCUGGCGGCAUGCCUUACACAUGCAAGUCGAACGGCAGCGCGGACUUCGGUCUGGCGGCGAGUGGCGAACGGGUGAGUAAUACAUCGGAACGUACCCUGUUGUGGGGGAUAACUAGUCGAAAGAUUAGCUAAUACCGCAUACGACCUGAGGGUGAAAGUGGGGGACCGGAAACGGCCUCAUGCAGCAGGAGCGGCCGAUGUCUGAUUAGCUAGUUGGUGGGGUAAAGGCCCACCAAGGCGACGAUCAGUAGCUGGUCUGAGAGGACGAUCAGCCACACUGGGACUGAGACACGGCCCAGACUCCUACGGGAGGCAGCAAUGGGGAAUUUUGGACAAUGGGGGCAACCCUGAUCCAGCAAUGCCGCGUGUGUGAAGAAGGCCUUCGGGUUGUAAAGCACUUUUGUCCGGAAAGAAAUCGCGCUGGUUAAUACCUGGCGUGGAUGACGGUACCGGAAGAAUAAGCACCGGCUAACUACGUG